GGAAGGGUGUCCGAGAGGUCUAAGGAGCACGCCUGGAGAGCGUGUAGGUGGGUGACCGCCUCGCGGGUUCGAAUCCCGCCCCUUCCGCCA
RNAcentral lists this transfer RNA (90 nucleotides) under Clostridiales bacterium. RNAcentral's name for it is "tRNA-Ser". It matches the Rfam family "tRNA". Rfam says of the family: Transfer RNA (tRNA) molecules are approximately 80 nucleotides in length. Their secondary structure includes four short double-helical elements and three loops (D, anti-codon, and T loops). Further hydrogen bonds mediate the characteristic L-shaped molecular structure. tRNAs have two regions of fundamental functional importance: the anti-codon, which is responsible for specific mRNA codon recognition, and the 3' end, to which the tRNAs corresponding amino acid is attached (by aminoacyl-tRNA synthetases). tRNAs cope with the degeneracy of the genetic code in two manners: having more than one tRNA (with a specific anti-codon) for a particular amino acid; and 'wobble' base-pairing, i.e. permitting non-standard base-pairing at the 3rd anti-codon position. Lineage: Bacteria; Bacillati; Bacillota; Clostridia; Eubacteriales. RNAcentral also lists the same sequence under 1 other name. The record is from RNAcentral.